GAAUGAAGAACGUAGCGAAAUGCGAUAAGUAAUGUGAAUUGCAGAAUUCAGUGAAUCAUCGAAUCUUUGAACGCACAUUGCGCCCGCCAGUAUUCUGGCGGGCAUGCCUGUUCGAGCGUCAUUUCAACCAUCAAGCCCCCGGGCUUGCGUUGAGGCCCUGCGGCUGCCGCAGGCCCCGAAAAGCAGUGGCGGGCUCGCUGUCACACCGAGCGCAGUAGCGAUAUUCGCUCAGGGCGUCGGCGGCGGGACUCCGGCCGUGAAACCCCCCAAACAUCCAAAGGUUGACCUCGGAUCAGGUAGGAAUACCCGCUGAACUUAAGCAUAUCAAUAAGCGGAGGA
RNAcentral lists this unclassified non-coding RNA (339 nucleotides) under soil metagenome. Its description in RNAcentral is "partial contains 5.8S ribosomal RNA, internal transcribed spacer 2, and large subunit ribosomal RNA". The stretch from base 3 to 121 matches the Rfam family "5.8S ribosomal RNA", at positions 36 to 154 of the family's 154-position model. The record is from RNAcentral.